Molecule: ribosomal RNA, 1312 nt
Filed under: Arthrobacter sp. AD4
Lineage: Bacteria; Bacillati; Actinomycetota; Actinomycetes; Micrococcales; Micrococcaceae
Description: bacterial SSU rRNA
Rfam family: Bacterial small subunit ribosomal RNA
Source: RNAcentral
ACUGGGUCUAAUACCGGAUAUGACUCCUCAUCGCAUGGUGGGGGGUGGAAAGCUUUUUGUGGUUUUGGAUGGACUCGCGGCCUAUCAGCUUGUUGGUGGGGUAAUGGCCUACCAAGGCGACGACGGGUAGCCGGCCUGAGAGGGUGACCGGCCACACUGGGACUGAGACACGGCCCAGACUCCUACGGGAGGCAGCAGUGGGGAAUAUUGCACAAUGGGCGAAAGCCUGAUGCAGCGACGCCGCGUGAGGGAUGACGGCCUUCGGGUUGUAAACCUCUUUCAGUAGGGAAGAAGCCCUCUUUGGGGGUGACGGUACUUGCAGAAGAAGCGCCGGCUAACUACGUGCCAGCAGCCGCGGUAAUACGUAGGGCGCAAGCGUUAUCCGGGAAUUAUUGGGCGUAAAGAGCUCGUAGGCGGUUUGUCGCGUCUGCUGUGAAAGACCGGGGCUCAACUCCGGUUCUGCAGUGGGUACGGGCAGACUAGAGUGCAGUAGGGGAGACUGGAAUUCCUGGUGUAGCGGUGAAAUGCGCAGAUAUCAGGAGGAACACCGAUGGCGAAGGCAGGUCUCUGGGCUGUAACUGACGCUGAGGAGCGAAAGCAUGGGGAGCGAACAGGAUUAGAUACCCUGGUAGUCCAUGCCGUAAACGUUGGGCACUAGGUGUGGGGGACAUUCCACGUUUUCCGCGCCGUAGCUAACGCAUUAAGUGCCCCGCCUGGGGAGUACGGCCGCAAGGCUAAAACUCAAAGGAAUUGACGGGGGCCCGCACAAGCGGCGGAGCAUGCGGAUUAAUUCGAUGCAACGCGAAGAACCUUACCAAAGGCUUGACAUGGACCGGAAAGACCUGGAAACAGGUGCCCCGCUUGCGGCCGGUUUACAGGUGGUGCAUGGUUGUCGUCAGCUCGUGUCGUGAGAUGUUGGGUUAAGUCCCGCAACGAGCGCAACCCUCGUUCUAUGUUGCCAGCGGUUCGGCCGGGGACUCAUAGGAGACUGCCGGGGUCAACUCGGAGGAAGGUGGGGACGACGUCAAAUCAUCAUGCCCCUUAUGUCUUGGGCUUCACGCAUGCUACAAUGGCCGGUACAAAGGGUUGCGAUACUGUGAGGUGGAGCUAAUCCCAAAAAGCCGGUCUCAGUUCGGAUUGGGGUCUGCAACUCGACCCCAUGAAGUCGGAGUCGCUAGUAAUCGCAGAUCAGCAACGCUGCGGUGAAUACGUUCCCGGGCCUUGUACACACCGCCCGUCAAGUCACGAAAGUUGGUAACACCCGAAGCCGGUGGCCUAACCCUUGUGGGGGAGCCGUCGAAGUGACGCACAU